GCAUGCACUCAGUGCACACCCUUGAAGACUUCUUCAUAUACCAGUCAUACCCUAUACUGUUGUUAUUGAAGUCAGGACUCAGCAUGAACAUGAAGGCCCCUGCUCAGCUUCUUGGUCUCCUGUUGCUCUGGUUUCCAGGUGCCAGAUGUGACAUCCAGAUGAACCAGUCUCCAUCCUCCCUGUCUGUAUCUUUGGGAGACAGAGUCACCAUCACUUGCAGAGCAAGUCAGGGCAUUAGUGGUUAUUUAAGUUGGUUUCAGCAGAAACCAGGGAAAGCUCCUAAACGCCUGAUCUACGGUGCAUCCAACUUGGGGAAUGGUGUUCCAUACAGGUUCAGUGGCAGUGGGUCUGGCACAGAUUAUUCCCUCAUCAUCAGCAACCUGGAGUCUGAAGAUAUUGCAACUUAUUACUGUGUACAGUCUGUUAGUUAUCCUUCCACAGUGAUACAAGUCAUAACAUAAACCCCCAUGGAAGCA
Molecule: non-coding RNA, 476 nt
Organism: Mesocricetus auratus (golden hamster)
Lineage: Eukaryota; Metazoa; Chordata; Mammalia; Rodentia; Cricetidae
Source: the annotation of a RefSeq genome assembly